AGAGGGGGAUAACCCGGCGAAAGUCGGACUAAUACCGCAUGAAGCAGGGGCCCCGCAUGGGGAUAUUUGCUAAAGAUUCAUCGCUGAUAGAUAGGCAUGCGUUCCAUUAGGCAGUUGGCGGGGUAACGGCCCACCAAGCCGACGAUGGAUAGGGGUUCUGAGAGGAAGGUCCCCCACAUUGGUACUGAGACACGGACCAAACUCCUACGGGAGGCAGCAGUGAGGAAUAUUGGUCAAUGGCCGAGAGGCUGAACCAGCCAAGUCGCGUGAGGGAUGAAGGUUCUAUGGAUCGUAAACCUCUUUUAUAAGGGAAUAAAGUGCGGGACGUGUCCCGUUUUGUAUGUACCUUAUGAAUAAGGAUCGGCUAACUCCGUGCCAGCAGCCGCGGUAAUACGGAGGAUCCGAGCGUUAUCCGGAUUUAUUGGGUUUAAAGGGUGCGUAGGCGGCCUUUUAAGUCAGCGGUGAAAGUCUGUGGCUCAACCAUAGAAUUGCCGUUGAAACUGGGGGGCUUGAGUAUGUUUGAGGCAGGCGGAAUGCGUGGUGUAGCGGUGAAAUGCAUAGAUAUCACGCAGAACCCCGAUUGCGAAGGCAGCCUGCCAAGCCAUGACUGACGCUGAUGCACGAAAGCGUGGGGAUCAAACAGGAUUAGAUACCCUGGUAGUCCACGCAGUAAACGA
RNAcentral lists this ribosomal RNA (677 nucleotides) under uncultured bacterium. RNAcentral's name for it is "bacterial SSU rRNA". It matches the Rfam family "Bacterial small subunit ribosomal RNA", at positions 135 to 809 of the family's 1533-position model. The record is from RNAcentral.